RNAcentral lists this long non-coding RNA (218 nucleotides) under Durio zibethinus. RNAcentral's name for it is "long non-coding RNA (DZIB_LNC002305)". The record is from RNAcentral. Lineage: Eukaryota; Viridiplantae; Streptophyta; Magnoliopsida; Malvales; Malvaceae.
UUUUCAACUUUAUUAUUUUUAAUGGAUGCAUAAUUGACCAAUUUGUUCCAAGAAAAGCUUUCGAAAGGGUGAUCUUCUCUCACCUUAUUUAUUUUUGUUGUAUACAGAAACAUUUUCAUCAUUGCUUACGAAAUAUGAAGGAGAAGAUUUAGUUCAUGGAAUUUAGGUAAGGUGAAAGAUUCUAAAAUCACUCACUUAUUUUUUGCCCGAUGAUAACC